This 557-nucleotide long non-coding RNA is filed under the name Setaria viridis. RNAcentral describes it as "long non-coding RNA (SVIR_LNC011028)". The record is from RNAcentral. Lineage: Eukaryota; Viridiplantae; Streptophyta; Magnoliopsida; Poales; Poaceae.
AUGUUUCAUCCAGUGAUCCUUACUUUUCCUAGCAAGUAUGUUUUAUGGGUGAUCUAACAGAGAUGGUUUCAUAUUUUUCUCUAACAUAUUCUAUUACUUAUGCAAAAACUAAAAUCUUUGACUAGAUUUCAAAGAUAAAUCUAAAAUAGUGUGUAAAACAUCUAAACUAGGGUUACAAUUUUUUUCCUAGCACAAGCUUAGUGUUACAAAGCUAAUAGAUGUGGUUUUGUUAUUUUACCAUUUUUUGGUGAUUUACCAAGCAUUUAAAGGCUUAAACACCAAAUAAAAUCUAGUGCUAAACACAGAUCAUAAACAUGCAUAUGAGUAUUUUUAAAUGAAGCUACACAUCACUAGGAACCUAGAAAAAUAAUAAUCACAUUUUUCCCAUUUUUCUAUAUUUACUUAUGUAUUUUCAAAGUUUCAGCCUUUUUAGAUCUAGGAAAUAAAGAAAACCGGGAUCAACUUGCAAACUAGCCCCCAGAUCUAAGGUUUAAUCGCGCAAAGGUCCUUGGAUUUCUCCUAUACCCCCUACACUUCUCCUUCUUCUUCUUCUUUAC